UGAAAAUAAAAAUGACCAAUCGUACCAAAAAAGGACCAACAUAGUUUUCAUCCGCAGCGGUUUUUAACAUCCCAUAGAAAGUUAUUGUAAUCGAUCCGAUUUGUCGAAUUGAAAAUUUGAGUGGGUGUUAUUUUAACCGCAGCAAUUUAAAAAAAAUUGGUUAACCCAAAAUAACCAAUCCAAUUUACGUUUUUUUUUUUUAAAUCAAAAAAACUGAAAAAAAAUAAUUGUCACCUCGAAUAUUUAACGAAAAAAAUGGUUUUAUCUCUGAAAUAAUUGUAUGCAACGAAGAAUAACCUUGGUUGGAAUCAUGUAAGGUGAUUUGUGAUAGUUGACAGUCACAAUCAACAAAUUCGGUCUGUGUAAGGUGAUAGUCAUCUGUGAAAAUCACAAUUUUGUGAUUAUUUCCCGUGACAGCUAUUUAUGUAGGUGUCACUUUCAUAUGAAAUUGCUAUUAUUUUUUCUAUUGUCUGUCGUGUCUAGUCAAAAUGAAUGUGUUCGUGCCUUUGCCAUUGUUUUUUCCAUCCCAAAAUGCUAAAAAUCAAGAUAUGAAUCGUAAUAGAAAUGUCCGGCUUUUGAGAAUAAACCUCCGGAAUAAAUUUAACGUACUUGAUCUUCCAAAUCCAAAAUUUUUAAAAAACUUUCGAUUAACGAAAGAAACAUUUUUGCAUAUCCUUCACCUUUUGGAAUUGCCAAGUGGAAUUCGCUCAACCCACAUUUCCCAUAUACUCCAGUUAGCCAUAACACUUAAUUUUCUUGGAGGUGGUGCAUAUCAAAGGCAAGUUGGGGCUGACUGGUCAGCUCCCAUAGCCCAAAAUACAGUUUGUGAAGUCAUCUCUUCUACAUUGAAAAAAAUGGAGAGAACAUUGUGUCCCCUCAAAAUAAAGUUUACUCCAUCGAAUUCGGAAGCAACCAAAAGGUACUUUUAUGAGAAGUAUGACAUACCUAGAAGUAAGUGAGCUUUGUUUAUUGUAAAAAAAAUAUUUAAUUUUGCUAUUUUCCUAGUAAUCGGCUGCAUAGAUGGAAGUCACAUUAUGAUUCUCUGAUUAAAAAAUAAUUGUUACCUCGAAUAUUUAACGUAAAAAAUGGUUGUAUCUCUGAAAUAAUUGUAUGCAACGAAAAAUAACCUUUUUUUACAUC
Long non-coding RNA from Eupeodes corollae, 1140 nucleotides. RefSeq lists it as uncharacterized. The record is from RefSeq and is a predicted model, not a curated record. The transcript has 3 exons. Lineage: Eukaryota; Metazoa; Arthropoda; Insecta; Diptera; Syrphidae.